CUACCACUCCUGGGACCCUUGUGAGGAUAAGCAGCUCAGAAAAUGGGUGGGUGUGGGGACUUCUUACAAACAAAUAAAAGACUUUAAAAUAAAAAUAUAAUAAAAUGCUGUACUUGCCAUUACUGUGAGAGGUGGAUGAUGAAGAAUGAAAGGAGGCCGUGCUUAGUUAUUGCAUUUGUAGGUAGCUCUUGCUAACAGUUAUUUCCUCCUCAGCAUCAUUGCAUUUCUGCUCUUUCAAAGUUAGGAAUAUACAACAUGCCUUUUCCCUUUAUGAACAUUAUUCUGAUAUUAACCCUACAUGGAUUCUGAUCCUCAAUCCAUAACGUAAGUAUUUUUACGCAUCUCGGGAAUAAUCGAAGAACAUUGCUUUGAUUUAUUUAUUUUUUUCUUGAUGAAAAAGUUACCUCGUGAUCAAUGUACACAUCAUGGGGCAAAACCCUUCAGUGUGCUAAAAUACGGGCUCUGUCCUUAAUAAUACUGUCAUGGUACUUGUCUUGGCUGUGCCGGUCCACGACACGGCACACACUGCCAGCAAUCAGUGAGGCGGACACCUGCGGCUCGUUCCCCGUAAUUAUGACGAAUAAGUCUCCUCGUACACUCUGGCCUUUGCCAGAUCAUUGCCUCAUGCCUCGUACCCGCAAUCUCUUGAUUUCGUUCCUGACCUCCCGUGUACUGAUCCCCAACAAUGGACUGAAUAAAAAUGUUUCCCAAACCGCCUCUAAGUCUCCUGAGUCGUGCAUUUGGGUCCAACCCCGUGUUCUUGUCGAGACACAACGAUCUGGCCAUAACAUGGACUCAGCCGACUCAGCUGUUAUCCGUCAGUCCCUGCAGAUCCAAGGCAGACGUAUUGCCGAGCAAGAAGCCGCUCUCUUGGUGACUAAUCACAGGUUACAGGAGAUAUGUGCUCAGCUGGACUAGUGGUUCUCGUCCUGUACAGUGCUGCCAACACCAGUCCGACAACAGCUUCCACUGCCACAAGUCCAUCAGCGCCCGCUCCCUGCCUGUCAUGGAUGCCCAGCGGACCAUGUGGAUACACGGAUAGCCUUCAUGAUAUCCGACCUGACGGGGAGAGCAGAGACCUGGGCCACAGCCGAAUGGAGCCGCGGUUCCAAUACCUGAUGCACCUGGACCUCCUUUGCGUGUGCUACGACACAGAGCGGCAGAGAGCCGGUGGAACGAGGGAGCACUCCUCGAUGCAUUCUUUCAGGGGCUCUCGCCCGGGAUUCAAGACCACCUCGUCACAGUGCAACUGGCCACAGACCUGGACUCGCUCCUUGCCUUUGACCUGAGGAUCGACCAGAGGCUCGCGAUACAGGGGAAGGUUGACGCACUACAGGGAGACGCCCGACGGAACCUCGUACCACAGGCUCCAACCGGUCCAGGUUGACGAGACGGAGCCCAUGCAAGUCGAGGGGGUCAAGGAGGAGUGGCAACGAUGCCGGCAAGAGGAUAAAUGUUAUUUUUGUGGGUGGUUGGGCCACCUUGUGGCUUGUUGUCCUGUCAAGCCACCACAACCCAGACUCAAGGUGUCUACACCGGUGAAUGUAAACUACACUGCGGGCAGUUUGACGCAGUCCCUGCUUCAGGUUACUCUAAGCGCAAGUGGACGUUCAUGUACGGUUACGGAGUUCAUCGACUCUGGGUCAGACGCGAACCUCCCGAACCCACGAGUAGUUGACUUAUUGAGCUUGGAAACAUUUAGGACACAGCAACUCAGGUACGCUUAUUCAGCUAAAGGCAAUUUUUUGUGCCGAAUAACCCACCGUACACAGACGAAGGGGGACCGCUGGUCGCUCCGGUAGUACCGCGGGACUCGCAACCGGAAUCGGACUUGUCGCUAGUGCCUCCCUGCUUUUCUGACUUAAAAGAAGUAUUCUCUGAAGCAAAGGCUAAGUCUCUCCCGCCUCACUGGCCAUAUGACUGUGCCGUUGAAUUACUGCACGGCACCUCACCCCCACGUGGGAGAACUUUUUCUCUUACAGGCCCGGAACACCAAACCAUGAGGGACUAUAAGGAGGAGUCGCUGGCGGGGUCCUUAUCCGACCCUCGUCUUCAUCAGCCGGAACUGGCUUCUUUUUUGUUAAUAAAAAGGACACAACCCUGUGCACCUGCAUCAACUACUGGGGCCUAAACAAUAUCACUGUUAAGAACAGGUAUCCCCUUCCCUUUAUCACCACGGCCUUCGAGCUGCUGCAAGGGGAUUGAAUCUUCACCAAAUUGGAUUUACGGAAUGCGUACCACCUGGUGCGCAUUAGGGAGGGGUACGAGUGGAAGACUGCCUUCAAAACGCCCACGGGCCACUACAAAUACCUGGUAAUGCCGUUUGGGCCUACCAAUGCGCCAGCGGUAUUCCAGAAUUUCAUCAAUGAUGUUCUGCGUGAAAUGCUGAAUAAACAUGUUUUUGUCUAUGUUGACCAUAUUCUGAUUUCUUUUCUAGACAGGGAUUCCCACGUCGAGCAUGUCCGAGCUGUGCUGCAGCAACUCGUGCGGCACAACCUUGAUGUAAAGGAAGAAAAAAAAGUGAAUUUCACUGGCAUUCCAUCACGUUCUUGGGUUUCAUUCUAGCUGAGGGGGAAAGUUGGAUGGCCCCCAGCAAGGUUGAAUCCAUUCUUCAGUGGCCCACCCCCACGAACUGCAAGGAGGUUCAGAGGUUCAUCGGAUUCACGCAAAACCCGAACUACAACAUGGUCCGCAAGAGAAAUGAGUUUGACACCCUUGCACUACACCAUCAGAAAAAAAAAAAAUGUAACAAGUUACUGUGCUUUAAUAACUUUAUUACUGCCAUUUGUCUUUUCAUCCUAUAUGUGUUUAUGAAUUAACAUCUACUGUAUAUGCAGUUUUACCCGAACACUGGUAUAGACUGAGCAAGAGCUGAAUGACAUGGACAAAAUAGCAGAAAAAAAACAUGUAGUUGCACCUUACACACUGUAAAAGGUAAUCUCAGCUGAGUCAUCCAAAGGGAAAGGUGAGAAAAGUCCAGCAUACGGUGGGUGCAGAUUUAUAGUAUCUGAAAAUACCUGAAGGCUGGUGAAGAUUUAAAAGACACUUGACUCAUUAAGGGGUGACUUGGUCGACAUGACUUCAAAAUGGCUAAAUAAUAUGAUAGCAUGUUGGGCUGCAACAAAUUGACAGCCGUAAAGAUAUUUUUGUUCAUAUGCUAUUUUUGGACACCUGUAAUGCUGGCAAAAAUACAUAGCAACAGAACCAUUAAUUAUACUCAGUCAUCUAUGCCUACCACACAUAAGAUAAAGACGUGCAACCUAAUUUCUAAUAACAUUGGUAAACAACUGUGCGGGAGUCACCGAGGCAUGAGGGGAGGACUCAGUAUGUCAAUCAGUUAAGCACUUUUUCAAUUCCUUGGCAGAGUCUAAUUACUGGGGAUUCCAUCUAUGGGCUUAUGCUAAAGGAAACCCCCAUUUUCUUCUCACCAUUUGCCAAUUUAAUACUACCUUAAACUCGAAUGCCAUAAAAAAUUGUCAGUAUACUAUGGAGGGAGUUGAAGUAUUUUAACCGAAAAAUCGUGAGGAACAUUUUAUUUUACUUUUUUUUACAAAUGGGAAACGACUGGUUGUUAUUACAGGCAUGAGCAUUUCACGGAAACGAUCGUUCCAUUACUGUGUCGUUACCCAGCCUGAGAAAACACGGAACCGAAAGUCCGUUUCCCAGAUCUCAGGGCUUACUUUUAAUAAAAUUCGCCCAUGUGUGGCAUAUAAAACAAGUUCUCAACGAAAUACCGCAAUCUGUAUAAAACGAACCUCCAUGAAGCCUUUUAUUUUUAAUGAUCAAAACGCCCAGUUUUGUCAGUGUGGUUUACAAACAGCACAGGUUUCCGCUUCUGCGCUACGCAUGCGCAAGGUCAAGUUAUUCAUAUCUGGGUCACUCAAACGCUAGUCAAACAUGUCGGUUGCUAAGCGUAAAAGACAAAAUGCUCAUGCCUGCUAAGGCUUUAUUCUGAAGUACAUGUAAAAACCGGUUCCCAUCAAUGGGAACCGAAAAAUCGUUUCCCACCAUUUCCCAGGACAAAAAUCAACGGAACCGAAAGAUCGGUUAGCAUACUUGCCGAAAUCAUCAUGCCCGUUUUAAUGUAGAAUGCAGCUAACUGGGUAAACUAUAGUUGCAUCACAUGCGUGGGCCCUUGGCCACUACUAUGUGUCAUUCCAGCAGAAAUCCCAACACAAUGUACCCUGGAGGUAAUGACUAAAACAACUCCUAACACCACUUGUCAAAAAUGGAAUAGUGUUCAUCCAACAACUGAGGCAGUAAAUGAUAAAUUUAUAUUUUCUACUUAUGUUGCAUUGGCUAAUUUCUCCUGUGUUAGCUGUACAGGGACAGAUUUUAAGGUGGGAAGUCUCACCAAAACAAGGUGUCAUGAUAUCCACCUGCAAACCGCCCCACUGCUCCCAUGCAGCGAUGUGUUGUGGUGGUGUGUUGGUCAAAAGUUGUAUGACACACUGAUAAAUGCAGCAGGAACGUGUGCACUGGUAUCAUUGCUCUUAUCUGUGACUGUGUUUCCAUCCAAAGCAGAGGAUGUACAAUUGGCCGCAUCCACCUUUGGACUUCCCCAUGAGUUGUCCCGAAGGCGAAGGGGAGAUCUGACAUACGUUGAUGCAAAUGGCAUCCCAACUGCAUACCAGAAGAGUAUAAGUUGGUUAACGAGAUUGCUGCAGGAUGGGAAUCCAUCUUGUUAUGGAUAGUUCUGAAUAAAAACGUUAACAGAAUAAACUACAUACAUUACAAUGUACAGAAACUAGGUCAUUAUACGGAAGCAGGCUUUAUUGCCAUAAGGGAACAACCAGCUGCAACCUUACUCAUGGCGUUCAAGCACCGGAUAGCAGUCGACAUGCUCCUGGCCGAGAAGGGUGGCGACUGCUCAAUGUUCGGUGACCAGUGUUGUUUAUUCCAAAUAUCACAGCACCUGAUGGGUCACACACAAGGGCCAUUCAAGGCCUCCGCACCCUGAACCACAAGAUGAAGGACCACUCUGGUGUAAACACAUCAGUCAGGUCUGAGUGGUGGGAAUAAAAAAAAAGUUUGGCAAAUCUAAAAAUUUGGUGUUCUCUGUCCAAGUUUCUGUAGCUGUUUGCAGCUGUUCUUGCAUUGUGUGGAUGCUGUUGUAUUCCCUGCACAAAGGCAUCACUUAACCAACUCAUAACCACUGCUAUUGCCCCGACAAAUUCAACAUUGGCAGAAAUAUAUCCACUAUUGGCAAAACAGAGUAAUGACAGUGAUAUUGUUGACCAUAAAAUAAAUAGAGGUGCUGAG
Molecule: long non-coding RNA, 5262 nt
Organism: Syngnathoides biaculeatus (alligator pipefish)
Lineage: Eukaryota; Metazoa; Chordata; Actinopteri; Syngnathiformes; Syngnathidae
Exons: 3
Source: RefSeq, a predicted model, not a curated record